Gallus gallus (chicken) is the source of this 194-nucleotide small nuclear RNA. Its record names the gene U4. It matches the Rfam family "U4 spliceosomal RNA". Rfam says of the family: U4 small nuclear RNA (U4 snRNA) is a component of the major U2-dependent spliceosome. The structure of U4 snRNA from yeast and human has been reported. The record is from Ensembl. NCBI's taxonomy places the organism in Eukaryota, Metazoa, Chordata, Aves, Galliformes, Phasianidae.
GGCUUUGUGCAGUGGCAGUAUUGUGGCCAAUGAGGUUAAUCCAAGGCACAAUUAUUGCUAAUUGUGCUACUCCGCCAUGACGACUUGAAAUAUGCUAGCUCUUGUAACAAAAAAUGUCACUUUCUCAUCUUCCCAAAUACUCUCUUUAUUGUCUAACAACUAUGUAGUAAGUAAUUACUUUCUCAGACAUGUUU